UGUUGCACCAAUCAGCUGACUGUGUCCUUCUCCCGUGGGGUCCCUGUGCAGAAUGGCUGCAAACAGCAGCCUCUGUGGUAGCCGAUGCGGCCUGCUGCCUGUCUGGGCUGCUCUAAAGAUCUAGGAGACACCC
RNAcentral lists this small nucleolar RNA (133 nucleotides) under Sus scrofa (pig). Its description in RNAcentral is "Small nucleolar RNA SNORA70 (ENSSSCG00000038784.1)". It matches the Rfam family "Small nucleolar RNA SNORA70". From Rfam's summary of the family: snoRNA U70 seems to be exclusive to mammals and is a member of the H/ACA class of snoRNA which contain H (ANANNA) and ACA box motifs. H/ACA box snoRNAs are involved in the conversion of uridines to pseudouridines (5-ribosyluracil) a constituent of structural RNAs (transfer, ribosomal, small nuclear, and small nucleolar). Lineage: Eukaryota; Metazoa; Chordata; Mammalia; Artiodactyla; Suidae. The record is from Rfam by way of RNAcentral.